UACGAAGGGGGCUAGCGUUGUUCGGAAUUACUGGGCGUAAAGCGCACGUAGGCGGAUUAGUAAGUCAGGGGUGAAAUCCCGGGGCUCAACCUCGGAACUGCCUUUGAUACUGCAAGUCUCGAGUCCGGAAGAGGUGGGUGGAAUUCCUAGUGUAGAGGUGAAAUUCGUAGAUAUUAGGAAGAACACCAGUGGCGAAGGCGGCCCACUGGUCCGGUACUGACGCUGAGGUGCGAAAGCGUGGGGAGCAAACAGG
RNAcentral lists this ribosomal RNA (253 nucleotides) under uncultured bacterium. RNAcentral describes it as "partial 16S ribosomal RNA". It matches the Rfam family "Bacterial small subunit ribosomal RNA", at positions 524 to 776 of the family's 1533-position model. The record is from RNAcentral.